RNAcentral lists this ribosomal RNA (429 nucleotides) under Bacillota bacterium. Its description in RNAcentral is "Firmicutes bacterium partial 16S ribosomal RNA". It matches the Rfam family "Bacterial small subunit ribosomal RNA", at positions 355 to 776 of the family's 1533-position model. Lineage: Bacteria; Bacillati; Bacillota. The record is from RNAcentral.
UGGGGAAUUUUGGACAAUGGGGGCAACCCUGAACCAGCAAUGCCGCGUGUGUGAAGAAGGCCUUCGGGUUGUAAAGCACUUUUGUCCGGGAAGAAAUCGCACCUGAUAAUACCGGGUGUGGAUGACGGUACCGGAAGAAUAAGGACCGGCUAACUACGUGCCAGCAGCCGCGGUAAUACGUAGGGUCCAAGCGUUAAUCGGAAUUACUGGGCGUAAAGCGUGCGCAGGCGGUUGUGCAAGACCGAUGUGAAAUCCCCGGGCUUAACCUGGGAAUUGCAUUGGUAACUGCACGGCUAGGGUGUGUCAGAGGGGAGUAGAAUUCCACGUGUAGCAGUGAAAUGCGUAGAGAUGUGGAGGAAUACCGAUGGCGAAGGCAGCCCCCUGGGAUAACACUGACGCUCAUGCACGAAAGCGUGGGGAGCAAACAGG